RNAcentral lists this ribosomal RNA (441 nucleotides) under uncultured bacterium. RNAcentral describes it as "partial 16S ribosomal RNA". It matches the Rfam family "Bacterial small subunit ribosomal RNA", at positions 339 to 795 of the family's 1533-position model. The record is from RNAcentral.
CUACGGGCCGCUGCAGUGGGGAAUAUUGGGCAAUGGGCGCAAGCCUGACCCAGCAACGCCGCGUGAGGGAAGAAGGUUUUCGGAUUGUAAACCUCUGUCCUUGGGGACGAAGAAGUGACGGUACCCAAGGAGGAAGCUCCGGCUAACUACGUGCCAGCAGCCGCGGUAAUACGUAGGGAGCAAGCGUUGUCCGGAAUUACUGGGCGUAAAGGGUGCGUAGGCGGCAUAUUAAGUCAGGUGUGAAAUACUCGGGCUCAACCCGGGGGCUGCAUUUGAAACUGAUAUGCUUGAGUGUGAGAGAGGAAAGUGGAAUUCCUAGUGUAGCGGUGGAAUGCGUAGAUAUUAGGAGGAACACCAGUGGCGAAGGCGACUUUCUGGCUCAUAACUGACGCUGAGGCACGAAAGCGUGGGGAGCAAACAGGAUUAGAUACCCUUGUAGUC